CGUUCCAAUACUUUGUUGCUAAGGGGCUGUGUUGACUUCGGUCAACACGAACCGACCCACAUUGUUGCGGAAAGCUAUAGGGGGACGCAGGAAGGUAGAUGAACCCGGUGAAUGGUAGAACCGGGGUAAGCGUGUAGGAGGAGGACCAGGCAAAUCCGGGCCUCACAUACUCUGAGACGUGAUACCGAGCCGCUUCAGGCGAAGUCAUUAAUCCUAUGCUGCCUAGAAAAGCCCAGUAGCGAGUUGACAUGGUGCCCGUACCCCAAACCAACACAGGUGGACAGGUAGAGCAUACCAAGGCGAGUGGGAUAACUAUGGUUAAGGAACUCGGCAAAUUUCCUCCGUAACUUCGGGAUAAGGAGGACCCCAGUAGCGUGACGAGACUUGCUCUCCGAGCGUGAAGGGGUGGCACAAAAUUGAGGGAAGCGACUGUUUACCAAAAACACAGCAGCGUGCUAAGCCGUAAGGCGCUGUAUACGCUGUGACUCCUGCCCGGUGCUGGAAGGUUACGGGGAUGGGUUAGUCCUUCGGGACGAAGCUCUGAACCUAAGCCCCAGUAAACGGCGGCCGUAACUAUAACGGUCCUAAGGUAGCGAAAUUCCUUGUCGGGUAAGUUCCGACCUGCACGAAUGGAGUAACGACUUCCCUACUGUCUCAACCAUAGACCCAGCGAAAUUGAAGUACGGGUAAAGAUGCUCGUUAGCUGCAGAAGGACGGAAAGACCCCGUGGACCUUUACUAUAACUUGACGUUGUGUUUUGUCAUAUGUUGUGUAGGAUAGGUGGGAGACAAGGAAGCAUGGACGCUAGUCUGUGUGGAGUCAUCGUUGAAAUACCACCCUGCAUAUGGUGAGGCUCUAACCUAGACCCGUUAUCCGGGUUGGGGACAGCGUCAGGCGGGUAGUUUAACUGGGGCGGUUGCCUCCUAAAGAGUAACGGAGGCGCCCAAAGGUUCCCUCAGCCUGGUUGGCAAUCAGGCGUCGAGUGCAAUGGCAAAAGGGAGCUUGACUGCGAGACCUACAAGUCGAGCAGGAGCGAAAGCUGGGCAUAGUGAUCCGGCGGUUGCGUGUGGAAGCGCCGUCGCUCAACGGAUAAAAGGUACCCCGGGGAUAACAGGCUAAUCUUGCCCAAGCGUCCAUAGCGACGGCAAGGUUUGGCACCUCGAUGUCGGCUCAUCGCAUCCUGGGGCUGAAGCAGGUCCCAAGGGUUGGGCUGUUCGCCCAUUAAAGCGGUACGCGAGCUGGGUUCAGAACGUCGUGAGACAGUUCGGUCCCUAUCCUCUGUAGCCGUAGGUGAAUUGAGGAAAGCUGUCCCUAGUACGAGAGGACCGGGACGGACGCAGCUCUCGUGUGCCAGUUGUCCUGCCAAGGGCAUGGCUGGUUAGCGACCUGCGGAAAGGAUAACCGCUGAAAGCAUCUAAGCGGGAAGCCUCUUCCGAGAUGAAUUCACCCACAGGGUUAACCUGGUAAGGCCCGUGGUAGACCACCACGUUGAUAGGCCGGAAGUGUAAGCGUGGCAACACGUUCAGCUGACCGGUACUAAUCGGCC
This 1546-nucleotide ribosomal RNA is filed under the name metagenome. RNAcentral's name for it is "bacterial LSU rRNA". It matches the Rfam family "Bacterial large subunit ribosomal RNA", at positions 1379 to 2910 of the family's 2925-position model. The record is from RNAcentral.